CGGGGAUGAGUUGUGGCUAGGGGUGAAAGGCCAAGCAAACCCGGAGAUAGCUGGUUCUCCGCGAAAGCUAUUGAGGUAGCGCGUCGCGUUAGACCCUCGGGGGUAGAGCACUGGAUGGGCUAGGGGGGCGCGAGCCUUACCAAACCUAACCAAACUCCGAAUACCGGGGAGUUCCUUGCGCGGCAGACAGACGGCGGGUGCUAAGGUCCGUCGCCGAGAGGGAAACAGCCCAGACCGCCAGCUAAGGUCCCCAAGUCGCGGCUAAGUGGGAAAGGAUGUAGGACGGCCAAAACAACCAGGAGGUUGGCUUAGAAGCAGCCAUCCUUUAAAGAAAGCGUAACAGCUCACUGGUCUAUCAGCUGUCCCGCGCCGAAGAUGUAACGGGGCUCAAGCCGCGCACCGAAGCUGCGGGUUCCACGUCUCGACGUGGAGCGGUAGCGGAGCGUUCCGUAGGCCUGCGAAGCCGUCCCGUGAGGGGCGGUGGAGGCAUCGGAAGUGCGAAUGCUGACAUGAGUAGCGACAAGGAGCGUGAGAGACGCUCCCGCCGGAAGUCCAAGGGUUCCUGCGCAAGGCUAAUCCGCGCAGGGUGAGCCGGCCCCUAAGGCGAGGGCGAAGGCCGUAGCCGAUGGGAACCAGGUCAACAUUCCUGGGCCUGCUGGAGGUGACGGCGACCCGCCGUCGUCCGACCUUAUCGGAUUGGUCGGGCGGCCACGGUCGUCCAGGAAACAGCCCCAGCAUACAGACCGUACCCGAAACCGACACAGGUGGACUGGUUGAACAUACCCAGGCGUUCGAGAGAACCGUACUGAAGGAACUCGGCAAAUUGCCCCCGUAACUUCGGGAGAAGGGGGCCUCCUCGGCGGGCAACCGUCGGGGAGGGGCACAGGCCAGGGGGUGGCGACUGUUUACUAAAAACACAGGGCUCUGCGAAGUCGCGAGACGACGUAUAGGGUCUGACGCCUGCCCGGUGCCGGAAGGUCAAGGGGAGCGGUGAGAGCUGCGAACCGAAGCCCCGGUAAACGGCGGCCGUAACUAUAACGGUCCUAAGGUAGCGAAAUUCCUUGUCGGGUAAGUUCCGACCUGCACGAAUGGCGUAACGACUUCCCCGCUGUCUCCAGUACGGGCUCGGCGAAAUUGAACUCCCCGUGAAGAUGCGGGGUACCCGCGGUCAGACGGAAAGACCCCGUGCACCUUUACUGCAGCUUUGCGCUGGCAGCCGACGGAGCAUGUGUAGGAUAGGUGGGAGCCGGUGAAGCCGGGGCGCCAGCCCCGGUGGAGGCAACCUUGAAAUACCACCCUUGGCUCGUUGGCUGUCUAACCGGGCUCCGUGAUCCGGAGCCGGGACCCCGCAUGGCGGGCAGUUUGACUGGGGCGGUCGCCUCCCAAAGUGUAACGGAGGCGCGCGAUGGUGGGCUCAGGCUGGUCGGAAACCAGCCGUCGCGUGCAAGCGCACAAGCCCGCCUGACUGCAAGGCAGACGUGCCGCGCAGAGACGAAAGUCGGCGCUAGUGAUCCGGUGGUCCCGCGUGGAAGGGCCAUCGCUCAACGGAUAAAAGGUACGCCGGGGAUAACAGGCUGAUAACCCCCAAGAGUCCCCAUCGACGGGGUUGUUUGGCACCUCGAUGUCGGCUCAUCACAUCCUGGGGCUGAAGCAGGUCCCAAGGGUUCGGCUGUUCGCCGAUUAAAGUGGUACGUGAGCUGGGUUUAGAACGUCGUGAGACAGUUCGGUCCCUAUCUGCCAUGGGUGUUGGAGACUUGCGAGGAUCUGUCCCUAGUACGAGAGGACCGGGAUGGACGUACCUCUGGUGGAGCUGUUGUGGCGCCAGCCGCAGUGCAGCGUAGCUAUGUACGGACGGGAUAACCGCUGAAGGCAUCUAAGCGGGAAACCCACCUCUAAACGAGAACUCCCUCGAGAGCCGUGGAAGACCACCACGUUGAUAGGCCGGGUGUGUAAGUGCGGCAACGCAUUGAGCUUACCGGUACUAAUCGCUCAAUUGGCUUGAUCGC
This 2006-nucleotide ribosomal RNA is filed under the name Actinomycetota bacterium. Its description in RNAcentral is "partial 23S ribosomal RNA". It matches the Rfam family "Bacterial large subunit ribosomal RNA", at positions 799 to 2925 of the family's 2925-position model. The record is from RNAcentral. Lineage: Bacteria; Bacillati; Actinomycetota.